UACGGGGGGGGCAAGCGUUGUUCGGAAUUACUGGGCGUAAAGGGCUUGUAGGCGGCCAACUAAGUCAUACGUGAAAUCCCUCGGCUUAACCGGGGAACUGCGUCUGAUACUGGAUGGCUUGAGUUCGGGAGAGGGAUGCGGAAUUCCAGGUGUAGCGGUGAAAUGCGUAGAUAUCUGGAGGAACACCGGUGGCGAAGGCGGCAUCCUGGACCAACACUGACACUGAGGAGCGAAAGCCAGGGGAGCAAACGGG
RNAcentral lists this ribosomal RNA (253 nucleotides) under uncultured bacterium. Its description in RNAcentral is "partial 16S ribosomal RNA". It matches the Rfam family "Bacterial small subunit ribosomal RNA", at positions 524 to 776 of the family's 1533-position model. The record is from RNAcentral.